This 433-nucleotide ribosomal RNA is filed under the name uncultured bacterium. RNAcentral's name for it is "partial 16S ribosomal RNA". It matches the Rfam family "Bacterial small subunit ribosomal RNA", at positions 29 to 507 of the family's 1533-position model. The record is from RNAcentral.
AACGAACGCUGGCGGCAGGCCUAACACAUGCAAGUCGAGCGGACCCUUCGGGGUUAGCGGCGGACGGGUGAGUAACGCGUGGGAAUAUGCCCUUCUCUACGGAAUAGUCCUGGGAAACUGGGGGUAAUACCGUAUACGCCCUUUGGGGGAAAGAUUUAUCGGGGAAGGAUUAGCCCGCGUUGGAUUAGGUAGUUGGUGGGGUAAUGGCCUACCAAGCCGACGAUCCAUAGCUGGUUUGAGAGGAUGAUCAGCCACACUGGGACUGAGACACGGCCCAGAAUCCUACGGGAGGCAGCAGUGGGGAAUCUUAGACAAUGGGGGCAACCCUGAUCUAGCCAUGCCGCGUGAGUGAUGAAGGCCUUAGGGUUGUAAAGCUCUUUCAGCUGGGAAGAUAAUGACGGUACCAGCAGAAGAAGCCCCGGCUAACUCCGUG